UGGGGAAUAUUGGACAAUGGGGGAAACCCUGAUCCAGCGACGCCGCGUGAGUGAAGAAGUAUUUCGGUAUGUAAAGCUCUAUCAGCAGGGAAGAAAAUGACGGUACCUGACUAAGAAGCCCCGGCUAACUACGUGCCAGCAGCCGCGGUAAUACGUAGGGGGCAAGCGUUAUCCGGAUUUACUGGGUGUAAAGGGAGCGCAGACGGCGAAGCCAGUCUGCAUGAAAUGCAUGGGCUCAACCCAUGAAUUGCUUUGGAAACUGUUUGGCUUGAGUGUCGGAGGGGUAAGCGGAAUUCCUAGUGUAGCGGUGAAAUGCGUAGAUAUUAGGAGGAACACCGGAGGCGAAGGCGGCUUACUGGACGACAACUGACGUUGAGGCUCGAAGGCGUGGGGAGCAAACAGGAUUAGAUACCCUGGUAGUCCACGCAGUAAACGAUGAAUACUUGGUGUCGGGGAGGUAAACUCUUCGGUGCCGCAAGCAAACGCAUUAAGUAUUCCACCUGGGGAGUACGUUCGCAAGAAU
Molecule: ribosomal RNA, 523 nt
Filed under: uncultured bacterium
Lineage: Bacteria
Description: bacterial SSU rRNA
Rfam family: Bacterial small subunit ribosomal RNA
Source: RNAcentral